GAAUUUUGGACAAUGGGCGAAAGCCUGAUCCAGCAAUGCCGCGUGCAGGAUGCAGGCCUUCGGGUUGUAAACUGCUCUUGUACGGAACGAAAAGCGUUGGGUUAAUACCCUGGACUCAUGACGGCACCGUAAGAACAAGCACCGGCUAACUACGUUCACGCAGCCGCGGUAAUACGUAGGGUGCAAGCGUUAAUCGGAAUUACUGGGCGCAAAGGGGGGGCAGGCGGUUUUGUAAGACAGAGGUGAAAUCCCCGGGCUCAACCUGGGAACUGCCUUUGUGACUGCAAGGCGAGAGUACGGCAGAGGGGGGUGGAAUUCCGCGUGUAGCAGUGAAAUGCGUAGAUAUGCGGAGGAACACCGAUGGCGAAGGCAACCCCCUGGGCCUGUACUGACGCUCAUGCACGAAAGCGUGGGGAGCAAACA
Molecule: ribosomal RNA, 423 nt
Filed under: uncultured bacterium
Lineage: Bacteria
Description: partial 16S ribosomal RNA
Rfam family: Bacterial small subunit ribosomal RNA
Source: RNAcentral